RNAcentral lists this long non-coding RNA (6314 nucleotides) under Paramuricea clavata. Lineage: Eukaryota; Metazoa; Cnidaria; Anthozoa; Malacalcyonacea; Plexauridae. The record is from RNAcentral.
GUUGUUGCGUAGGCCAGUCGAAACAAUUAUAAUACGUCUUCGGAGAGGAUUAUUGGCAAUCUACCACUGCAACAAAACCUUUUCUUCGUCAGGUACUGGUAUACUAGAAAUACUCAUUGAACUGUCAAUAUUCAAGGGUAAGUGGUUUAAUCUAUUUUACGAAACUCUACAAUACAUGUUUGACAGUUCCAACUAGCUUAAAGCAAACAUCUGUGACAGUGGACAACUGCUACAUAGGCCUAUAGAUAUCGGCGAGAUUCUUAUUUAUGAAACGAAUUGCUUUGUUUGGCCAGCGUUUCUGGCUUUGAAUUAAAGUUUUCACGAACUUCAGGUGAAAUUUCACUCCGAGAAAUAUAAUUCUUCGUCAUUACAAGUCAGCGAGAAACGGCAUUAGAAAAUAGAAAUAUUUGCUCGUACUUCCGUAUUUGAGAAAGCCUUGCGUUAUCAAAGAGUUUAUUUCAAGCAAAGUUGAUAUAAAACAAAGGUGUCUGCACCAUUUAUUGGUUUAUCUUGUGUUUGACUCGUAUUUUUUAGUUUACAAGAUGCGGACUGCUAUUUUAUGCCUUUCGGCGAUUGGGCCUUGUACUGUUUGGUAGCCUAUGUUCCUGUUGGGAACAGAUUGCAGUUUGCAAAAAAAUAUUAACGUCCAGAAUAAGGGUGUUUCUUUAUUACAGGAUCAUGCGGUGUGGUUUCCUAAAAAAACAAACUACCUCUUAUUAAACCGUUAACUAUCGGAUGAAUCGUACCGUCUAGGAUGUUAUGCUUGUACAGCGGAAAAGGAAUUCGUCCUAAAGGAUAAAAACUUGUAGCCAAUGCUGUAUAUUAUGUUCGACCAUGUAGGCAAAGAAAUGAAUCUUCGAUGUGUGUGGCUAUUUCAUCUUUACGACAAAAUACAUUACAACCAAUUAUCGUCCAGCAAGUUUUAGUGGCCAAAUUUACGAAUGAGUAUUAUGUAAAUAAUGAUAAUGUAUCGUUUUAAAUUGCACUAACAGUUUGUGUUAUAAGUAUCGCAGAACUAUUAGUUUUAAAUGUCCUAUAAUAUAGAGUCUUCUAUAAUAUUUCGAUGUACAUGUACGGAUUGUUGUUUAAAGUAAAAUGGUUAUUACCUCUUGCCAUUCCGAAAAAUAUAUGCAUGAGUAGAAUUCCAAGGGGAGAUUUUCAUCAGAGAGCAAUAUAUAGAAUUCAAUAAUCACUUUGCAUAUUUUUCAUGCUGAUAAGAAUCAACAAUGCUUGCACGUAAUUAUGAUUGCACUUUAAAUUUUGAUUUUUACGUGAGUUUCUUGAUGAAUAAUGGGGCAAAGAACGGUAAAAGGUGUGCAUGUUACAUAAUCUAUCAAGUAAUGUUAAAAAAAAAGAGAGAAUUUCAAUGGCAUGGCAAAACGAAAAUGUUUGACUGACGUCAGCAACUUUCACAUUUGUUGGUGUACUAAAUACGGAUUUACUUUUCGGCAUAUAUGUUGUAAAAUUAGAUGGCGACUGCAUGAACUGCAUGAUUCGAUUUGUAUAACACGGGCUGGAUUUGUAUACCGCAGACUGAACUGAACUUAUAAUACGCGGACUGCAUUGAACCUUCAGACGUUGAUGCUAGUUAUAAUUAUUGUCGUAUUCGAACUAUCGUUAGGCUAGUACGUCCAGUAAGAUUCUGGGCAUAUAUUUUUUAGUAUAACAAUAGUUUCACUCCCAGUGUUUUCGUGCAAAACCAGAGCUCGCCAGAUGUGAGAAAUUGAUCCGCUCUAAACUCUCCUGAGCGGCUAAGCCAAUUAAAUUGCUUUAUUUUUACCGCUAGAAAUAAAUAUAUUUAAUCCAUAUGUUGGUCAACUUCGCGCACACUGAUUUAGACGCAAUAUAUGAACAACGAUAGCGAGUGUUAAGGUGGAUAUUCAAACACGGGAUUAAAACAAUGUAUGAAAACACGAGCGCGAAGAGCGAGUGUUUUCAUACAUUGUUUUCGAGUGUUUGGAUAUCCCGGUGAGACACGAGCUCGAGUUGUUUAUAUGGCUCAUCAAAUGAAUCGAGACUAACAGAAUGUUUUCGUUUGCUGAUUUGAAUAGAAAUCUUAACCAAGCAUAAUGUACAAUUAGGAAUUCUAUUCAAGUAAUUUUGCAUGCGUAAUUAAGUAAAUCUCGAACAACGGAAUGACACGUGCUGAUUUCCACUCCACAGGCACUUUAGCCUGGUGCAACGAUGCGUUAAUGAUAACUGUUAAAGGUUUUGCGACAAUAUACGUUCGGCAUCUUUAAGUAGCCGCGGUGGAAUAUCGUCCAGUUCGACUGCUUUACUAGAUUUGAGACGGCGAAGCUGGCAAAAAAACAAAGUUUUCUGAAACCUCCUGGAAUUCAAAGGGCAGGCGCUGAUCGGCUUGAGUAAAAUUUCCAGUGCGUUUAACAUUAUUGAAUACAACAGACACAGCUUCGUUAAAAGAGUAAAAAAGACGACGAACAGUCCCUGUAAAAAAAAACUAAUGAACGCAUUCGCCAUUACCCUCGCAUCCCAUGAAAUAUUGUCUCCAAUCUUCAUCCUCGCAGGCAUUUCUUUAGUUUCUCCAGGAAUGAUUUUUUUGUGUGAUAAUUAUUGCAAAAAUUUAAUAUUACCGCUAUAGUUUUCUUUGAAAGUCAUUUACGCCACAGAGUUCUGUUGUGGUUCCUUUUAGUUUGUAUAUUUACCUCAUUUUGAUUCAUUCUUCUUUGUAGGUAUUAAAUACGAUUUAAAAUUACUAUUGUUUACGUUUGCAUGCUAUUUUUAGCAUUUACUGUAGCGUGAUAUAAAACUAUAAUAGCAUGAACUAGGAUUGAUGUAUCAAAAAGAAACUAAGAGGUUAUCGGAGAAAAUGAAAGAUUGUUCAAUAAAUGGAAAUUCCUCCUAUUGACAACUCGAAUUUGAAAUUGAACGGAUGUGUUAAGACUACAUGUAGGAGAAUUUUGUUGUUACCUGUCAAAACGGAAAAAAGGGUCUCAGCUUGGGGAAUUUAGGAGACCAUCGAAAAGACAGAGUCUAAGAGAUAGGUGGAAUAGCUACGUUGGACAAAAAAGUGUCUCAUUUCAAGACAUUUGGCUUGGAAGUCCUCAUCUUCACUGCAAAUGCGGAGGAACCGAGAGAAGGGAAUAGACCUGUCGGUUUGGUUGAGGGUGGGAAGACGAAAAUAGAAGAUAGCUGUGAGAAAUAGUUGGCUUGUAGAACAUAGAAGGACAAGCUUAUUGCCAUUGAUUGAUACACUGGUCUCACUGAUCUCCCAUGUGAACUGGAGUACCACUGCUAUGUGGAAUUAAUUUACAAAGUUAGUAGACCGUUCCAUUUCGAUACGGGAACGCGAUUACCUUGGUAGGUAUACAGAUUACUGCCUUAGCACAGCAUCUAGCCUACGUGUCUGGCUCCAUGUUUGAAAUAGAGCCUGCUACUGACAAAAAUGGACUUAUACGUUACAAACCGUACGCAAAAUUCCCAUUGGUCAGAAAUAAAUAGCUUUGCCUUUUAAGGUAAUAUCAUAGUUGCCUCGAAAUCCUUUGUCUUGCGAGGUACGAUUACUCACUAAUUUACCUCAUUACCCAUGCAUACGCUUUGUCUUCUAAAUUUACCCGGUAAAUUUAGUUGAAAACAAAGGAUUUCUUUGUCUUCUAAUUUUCCCCUGCAUGCUUGAUGAGGGAAAUUUAGAAAACAAAAGCGUACCUCAUUACCUCUGAUUGGAGAGCUGUACCUCAUCAUCGGCACAACUAUGGACAGUAUCUGACGACACCGUCCCGUACACAUUCGAACAAUCACUUUGCCAGCUUUUAUUCCCUAAUCUUGAACAUUACAAUUGUGGGAGAAAAUUCCGUUUAUGCGCAUGCCUAAAACGAAUGAACACGGAGAUGUGUUUCUGCGCGUGCGUAUAUAUGAAAAGUGUUCGUACCACAAUCAUAAGACAAUCAAACAGCAUUCAAAACAGGCAACACACCACACGCGAUUCCCUCGGCAACUCUGAUAUUACAAAGUAAUAGCAUGGCAUUACGGUCGAUUAGUGAUGAAAUGUCCCUCAAGCCUCGAGAGGUUUAGUAAAAGUCCCUCGGCGCUACGCGCCUCGGGACUUUUACUAAACCUCUCUCGGCUUUUGUGUACAUUUAAUCACUAAUUGACCUGAAUGCCAUGCUAUUACUUAUAAUAAUAUCAAGUUGUUGUUUAUUUAUGUAAUAUGAUAUUGUACUUUUCGCCAAAUCAAUUACUGCCUUUGCUGUCUAUAAAAACGGUCAAUAACCGUAGUUGUAAUUUAGUAUGUAAUUUCUGGUCGUUUAAUAAAAAUUGGAAUAUUCUCGAGAUAUUCGCGGAAAAAUUGGCCGUUAUUGUCAUAUUUUAAAUUAGCUUUGAUAAUCUAAUUAACAACCGUCAUUUUAAUUGCUUGUUAUUUUUGUGAAUCCAAAUCACUGUCCACUUUUUAUUGACUUGAGUAGCAGGCUCUAUUUUAAGCAUACUACUACAUGUUCUCGUGUCGAAUUGGGACGUUUAUUAACUUUGUCAGAAAUUUCCAUCCAGCACUCCAGUUCAUAUGGUGAGACCAGUGUUUCAUUCUUAGAUAUCUUUGUGUCAAAAAAUUUGUGUUUUCUGUGCUGUACAAGCGCACUGACUCCCACAGGUAUCUUCUAUUUUCCUCUUCCAACCACACCAAAUAUCUGGAUUUGCAGUUAAGAUGAGGACUUUCAAGCCAAAAAUCUGGAAAUAAGACACUUUUUUGUCGAAUGUGGCUAUCCCACCUCUUCACUGAGACCCUUACAGACCCAGUGUCCGAUUUUACAGGUAACAACAAAAUUCUCUUAGUUAGAGAUGCCAUUAGAAGAAAUUACCAUUCCUUGAAAAACUAACCUGAAACGUCUUUCAUUUUUUCCGGUAAGAUCCGCUUAAUCUCUUUUUAACACAUGCAUAAAAAUAUUCAGUCACUUCUCGGCACGUUCCUCUGUUGGAGCCACAAUGUAAAACCUGCGAGUUUCUAGAUUCUGCUACCACCAUUUCGGCACCAAAAUCUCAAUACCAUGUUAAGCACCAUUUCACGUGCACCUCCUGCCAACUCAUCUUCAGCAGCUCAUGUAGAAGAUGUGGAAUGCUUUAUAUGGGGGAAACUGGACGACCUUUGAGGGCAAGACUUGGCGAGCAUCGGCGCGCAGUCAUUGGCAACAAUGCUAGCCCGCCUUUUAAUAGUGGAAAUCACAGUGUUUCUAAAUAUAAAAAGUCAAGCCCUCAGUCCCAUUUCUGGAAUCAACGAUAGUCGCAAAAUAAAUAAAUUGUGCCUUAUUUCCAAACUUGACACGGCCCAUUCCUUUGGCGUUACUAAACGUUUUCCCCAUGUUUACUCUAUCUGUCUUUGCGGCGCCUGUGAAAAACAGACAUUGACAGUAUUUUAAAUUCUUAUCUUAUUCCACAUUUGUCACAUAUAUUUUUUGGGAUUUUUAUAGGGUUGUAGUUUUCUGUAUAUUUGUAUACUCUGUAAUGUGAUUUACAUUUUUUGUUUACACUUUUUUUAUUAAAUACAUCUAAUUGAUUUAAUUCUAUCCCGUGAUCGCUUGUAUAUUUAUAGUAUAUAAGCUCAUGCAAUUUUUCCGACCCUGGCUACCAACUUCCCAACCAAGGUCCUUCGCUGGAAACGUCGAAGUUCGUCUUGUAUUUUUCAGCUAGCUGCAUCCCUAUCGAUCCAAAGCCUUCUUAUUAUCGGCACUAUACCUACACUGGCACAGACCAUUCAAGAUUAUUUAGAUUUAGGUUUCAAAAUGGUAGUAGCGGAAUCUAUAAAUUCACAGGUAUACUACAUCACUGACCCACAGGUCCCUCACAAAGAAGGAAACGUGCCGUAUGUGAUGACGGGUUUUAUGAAUUAUCCAAAGAAUUUCAAACGAAAAUUACAGAUAACUACGUUUCUCAAAAUUGCGAGUUAAUUCUAUUAAUAAUUAUUAUUCUUUAUACUGGUGAUUAACAUCUGUAUUAUGUAUUAAUAACCGACUUCCUAUUUUAAUAGGAGUAAAUUAAGUCCAUAUCACCUUGAAUACUUGAACCAUUUCAUCAUGGCGGAUAAGAAAAGUCUAGAGCAAAGUAAUUGGAAUUCUCAACCACAAGAAUCGACCAGUGGCGGUAUCAAUUAUUAUUCGAAACAGGAUGACAAGGGUAAUGAAACAAGUUUCAAAAUAAGCACAGAGGCAGUGACAGUAGUGGGAGCUGCUGCAGUAGGAGCCGUUUGCCUUGUCAAAGCUCUUGGCAAUAAAAAAGAAUAAUUGGACAACUAUACUUAUCACCACUUAUGUAGAAUACCUGUUUACUAUACAACUGUUUGUAAAACUCAUUAAAAUUUAUCAAGGAAC